RNAcentral lists this ribosomal RNA (480 nucleotides) under uncultured delta proteobacterium. Its description in RNAcentral is "bacterial SSU rRNA". It matches the Rfam family "Bacterial small subunit ribosomal RNA", at positions 9 to 521 of the family's 1533-position model. Lineage: Bacteria; Deltaproteobacteria. The record is from RNAcentral.
GAGUUUGAUCAUGGCUCAGGACGAACGCUGGCGGUGUGCUUAAUACAUGCAAGUCGAACGGGCCCUUCGGGGCUAGUGGCGGACGGCUGAGUAACACGUAGGUAACGUACCCUAUACUGGGGGAUAACAGAGGGAAACUUCUGCUAAUACCGCAUAAGUCAUAGGCUGAAAUGUUUAUGAUUAAAGAUUUAUUGGUAUAGGAUCGGCCUGCGCCUGAUUAGCUAGUUGGUAGGGUAAAGGCCUACCAAGGCAAUGAUCAGUAGUUGGUCUGAGAGGAUGACCAGCCAGAGUGGGACUGAGAACGGCCCACACUUCUACGGAAGGCAGCAGUAGGGAAUUUUGCGCAAUGGGCGAAAGCCUGACGCAGCAACACCGCGUGGAGGAUGAAGGUUCUCGGAUUGUAAACUCCCGUCGGCAGGGAAUAAAAAUGACUGUACCUGCAGAGGAAGCACCGGCUAACUACGUGCCAGCAGCCGCGGU